CAAAGAGGGAUUAUGGAUAUGCCUACAGGAGUCUUGCAAGCAGAGAAGGGCCGUUGUGUUAAAUAGUGACUGUACUCAGUUUAGAUGCGAGCACAUAGACAAAGCUGUUUAUCAGCUUUCUCAACCAAAAACGCAACACAUGAUAAGCGCUGAACAGCUAGUAUCGUAUCCAUGUUCCAAUGCUUUGCGGGACACAAUUCGUGGAAACCUUGAGGAUUUAUCGCUUAGAUAUGAUUGCACACCAGAAGUAGAACUAAGUGAUACGGUAUUUGCAGUAUAUGCAACAGCGGCGCGAGCAAUCCGUUGGGAUUCUGCCACGUCAAGCGAAAUGCUGACCAUCCCUCUAUAACCUGUUGUGGUAAAAAUUGCCGUAGAAUAAUGUCUGAGGCGAAGCAGGAAUGAGUGCAAGCAUUAUGUAUUCAUAUCCACACAAUGCUGUGUGCUCUAGCUUUGACCUCACCUAUAUCGAAGGCGGUGACCAAUGAACCAGCAGAUAUAACCUUAGAGGAAACGAUCACGGAACUGCCGGAACGCGUCACGACGGAAGCUAGCAGUAUUCAAAGGGAAUCUACUUUGAAGGUAUGAUAUUUCGUUUCCUACGGCAGCUAGUGUGAAUAAUGUGGAUAUUUUUGGGUGUUCUUCUAGCCUCAAAUUAUAACUUUUUUGUGAAUGCUUCGUGCAGUUGAAAAAUCAUCAAUAAUUAUUAUAUUAGUUGUUGUUCCAAAAAAGACUGCGACGUUUAUUAAAUUUUAGCACUUACGAUGCGGCGAUUAUUGAAGAGCGGGGUUAAUUAAUAACAUUCUUGAUUAUUUUACUUGAUUUAUUCGAGCUGGACUUUUAAAUAGUCACGAUAAACCUACAUUUCCAGACUGAAGAAAUAACUGAAAAGUUAUGAUUUCGGAGAGAGAUAAUGUUUAGAUUACGCGCGAACCAUGACCAUUGCUCACGACAACCACGCCCAUUUUCAUAAUUGUCCCAUGUUAAAUUUAACUACACAGUAAAUUAAUUAAAAGGCACCAUUUUAACUCCCAAGACCCCUUUUAAACGGGCUAUAUUGACAUUAUUAAAUCAGGAUCAUUUUUGGCCCGAUUCAAAGUUCUGUUUGGGCCCUAUAUUUUGGAGAGCUGAUCAGGCCUUUCCCCUCUUUUUAUAGAGCAAUUAUGACUAUUGUACAACAGAGGAAAAUAGCCAUUUUAGGCCUAUUAAUAAAUGAGAAGCAUUAUUGGCCCCAGUAACAGCCCCAGUUUUUAAAAGAGCCAAAAAAGCCCGUUGGAGCCAUUUUGGCUUCUACGGUUCAUUCACGUUCUGGUCAUUCACGUUCUGGCAUCAGGAUAAAUUAGCUCUUAGAAGCAUUAUUGGCACCACACUAGAGACAUUUUAAAAGCCAAAACAGCUCUUGGAGCCUUUUUAGCCCCUCUCUGUUUUUACGAAUAUGACCAUGAAGAGAGUUGUAUAAAAAAAUUGUAAAUAUGGAUGUAAACAUCGAUAUUUAUAAUCCUUGGCGUUUUUAGAUGGCAUUUACACGGUCACUUCCAUAUGGUACCGACAUGAAGUCCAACAUAUUAAUUUCCACCGAGAAGGAUGCGGGUAGUGUUAUGGGUCUGGAUUGAGGAUGGCCACAUCAGUUUGUUCCAGUAGAAGAGAUAUGCAAACUCUGUUCGUCUUUUUUGUCCGAGCCAAUGUUUCAUCCAGGUCAAAGAGGAAAAUCACGAGUUUUAACUUCGGUUUGAUUAUGAUUAUAGAAAACACUGUAAUGGUGUAACAAUAACGUUACAAUUGCAGUUAUAGCGAAUGUUUUGUCCGUAUAACAUUUUAAAAAUUGCCAUAUUCCAUAAAGAUAUUAUAUUCUAUAAAACCGCAUUCAAAUUUAAGUGCAUUCAAAUAGACAUAUAAACUUCUCAAAUUUAUAGAUAACAUAUACCAAAGAAAACGAGCAACAUGGCAGCAUGAUUUCGUUAGAGGAAAAGGCGGUUUACACCAGAAAUGGAAAUGCAUUCAAGAUCAAGAUUGAAGAAUUGCCGCCAAUAAUGCCUGAUGCCAUGCGAAAUGAGAGCGCUAUGAACUCCGAACACGAGAAACAGAGUGCCAUUUUAAAAUCUUUGGAGUAUGACGGUGAUCCAGCAAAUUACACCAACUCAUAAAGGAAAAACAACUGGAUAUAGAGAAUCUUAAAGAAAUGUCUUUUGAAGCGAUAAAAGAUAUAUGCGAACAAUGUUCCAUUUCCACUCAGAGAAAAUCAAAGUGUACUGUCGCAUCAAUGUUUCUUUGCUUGACUGAGUCAGUACGAGAUGCUGUAGACUUGUAUUUGUCAAUGAAAUACCACCCGAUACUCUUUAUCAACGACACACCAUGUGGGUUAGCACGCGGCAUAUAGAAUGUAGAUUUCCAGAUAUCUGCACAGACUUAUGAGGAAACAUAGGUGGUUGUUUUGAAACACCAACAACUGAAAGGGAUCCGAUUCAGAACCACAACAUUCCAGCAAUCGUGCCGCCUGAAUACAAAAUGGACGGUACUGUAUACAUCGAGGCCGAAGAUAGUGCAUAUGUCGACCCUGCUACUGGUUCAACUGACCGCUAUAUCUUGGGAGAUAAAUUCCAUUCGACCACGAAUCCUCACAAAUCACCUUUAUGCGCGUAUCAUGACAUCAACCUUUGUGAUCAGGCAAACUGCGUGGUAACCAGUACGCAAGAAUCGCAAAACAACCGAAAGAACAUCAGGCGGUUGCAUAGUUCAUGUCAUCAAAAUUUCGAAACACACAUUUUAUUUAAUUACUUGCUGGAUUUCUAUCGAAAUGAACAAGUCGUGAAAGAUCAGGAGCGAAAUCUCUCAAAACUGCUUAAGCGAAACCAGAAACUAGUGAGAGAUAAUUUGCUACGCUUCGUGGUGCGCUAGUUGCCUAUUUGCAGUGACGUAUAUUCAU
RNAcentral lists this long non-coding RNA (2920 nucleotides) under Dendronephthya gigantea. RNAcentral describes it as "uncharacterized LOC114540682, transcript variant X2". The record is from RNAcentral. Lineage: Eukaryota; Metazoa; Cnidaria; Anthozoa; Malacalcyonacea; Nephtheidae.